UGGGCUGGGGCGGGGUGGAGCAGAGCCGGAAGCGGGAGGGGAGAGUGAAACAGGAAAAGAAGGGAAGAAGGCAGAAGAGGGAAGAGGAGGAGAGGGAGGAGGAGGAGGGAGGUGGCGGCGCCGUGGCGGAGGAGCAGGAGCAGGAGGGGGAUGGAGAGGAGAAGGCUCCUGGGUGGCAUGGCGCUCCUGCUCCUCCAGGCGCUGCCCAGCCCCCUGUCAGCCAGGGCUGAACCCCCGCAGAUUUCAGAUGCAUUCCGUUCCACGCCGCACUUAGGACCAGUUGGCUGCCUUGUGUUCAGAGCCUGGACCUCAUCUGGUGAAUUUUCUCCGAGGCAGAAGUGUCACUGGAUUCUUUCACGUGUUGGGAGUUGUAGGCAGCACAGCCCCUUUUAGAAACUAUGUGGGACACUUUGAACUGUGGUCUUGCGAGCCAGCGCCAGAAGAAUGGCAUUUUGGGGCCUGGUAAACUUGGGAGAAACUUUUUGAUGUCCUUAUGAAAGCAGCAUUUUGCUCUGAAGUCAGGGGCGGGUGUGUUCUAGCAAAAGAAGCGAGCCCAGAUCUGCCUUCUCCACGUGCACCAGGCCUCCGUAGGAGACCUCCGACUGGACACCGCCCCCCCCCCCCGCCCCCCGCCUCCAUCGUGCUUAUGUGGAUGUGGGGAAGAGGCAGAGGUGGGAAGAACUCUGUUG
RNAcentral lists this long non-coding RNA (689 nucleotides) under Zalophus californianus (California sea lion). RNAcentral describes it as "lncRNA (ENSZCAG00015021549.1)". The record is from RNAcentral. Lineage: Eukaryota; Metazoa; Chordata; Mammalia; Carnivora; Otariidae.